UCCCCAUUUUCACAGGCCAUGAGCCCCGAAACACCCAUCCUAGGAUUGCUGAUGGGUGUUUCAGGGCUCAUGGCCUGUGUAAAUGGGGA
Gorilla gorilla gorilla (western lowland gorilla) is the source of this 89-nucleotide microRNA precursor. Lineage: Eukaryota; Metazoa; Chordata; Mammalia; Primates; Hominidae. The record is from Ensembl.